CACUUCAGUCGUGAGGAAUGUAGUGUAGUUAAUAGCUGCAUUAUUUGACGUUAGCGACAGAAGAAGCACCGGCUAACUCCGUGCCAGCAGCCGCGGUAAUACGGAGGGUGCGAGCGUUAAUCGGAAUUACUGGGCGUAAAGCGCAUGCAGGUGGUUUGUUAAGUCAGAUGUGAAAGACCCGGGGCGUCAACCUCGGAAUAGCAUUUGAAACUGGCAGACUAGAGUACUGUAGAGGGGGGUAGGAAUUUCAGGUGUAGCGGUGAAAUGCGUAGAGAUCUGAAGGAAUACCGGUGGCGAAGGCGGCCCCCUGGACAGAUACUGACACUCAGAUGCGAAAGCGUGGGGAGCAAACAGGAUUAGAUACCCUGGUAG
This 372-nucleotide ribosomal RNA is filed under the name uncultured bacterium. RNAcentral's name for it is "bacterial SSU rRNA". It matches the Rfam family "Bacterial small subunit ribosomal RNA", at positions 432 to 793 of the family's 1533-position model. The record is from RNAcentral.